UCUCCGUUGGUGAACCAGCGGAGGGAUCAUUGAAGAGUCUCGGCUCCAAACCACGCGAACCUACCAGUCGUUGCCUCGGCGGGCGCGCCCGCCGACGGCCCACCGAACCCUGUCGUAUCUAGGCCCUCUGAGCGACCGCGAGAGCGGGCAGACAAUCAAAACUUUCAACAAUGGAUCUCUUGGCUCUGGCAUCGAUGAAGAACGCAGC
This 208-nucleotide unclassified non-coding RNA is filed under the name uncultured fungus. RNAcentral describes it as "sequence contains ITS1, 5.8S rRNA gene". The stretch from base 160 to 208 matches the Rfam family "5.8S ribosomal RNA", at positions 1 to 49 of the family's 154-position model. The record is from RNAcentral. Lineage: Eukaryota; Fungi.